RNAcentral lists this ribosomal RNA (468 nucleotides) under uncultured bacterium. RNAcentral's name for it is "partial 16S ribosomal RNA". It matches the Rfam family "Bacterial small subunit ribosomal RNA", at positions 28 to 507 of the family's 1533-position model. The record is from RNAcentral.
GACGAACGCUGGCGGCGUGCUUAACACAUGCAAGUCGAACGGAAAGGCCCUGCUUUUGUGGGGUGCUCGAGUGGCGAACGGGUGAGUAACACGUGAGUAACCUGCCCUUGACUUUGGGAUAACUUCAGGAAACUGGGGCUAAUACCGGAUAGGAGCUCCUGCUGCAUGGUGGGGGUUGGAAAGUUUCGGCGGUUGGGGAUGGACUCGCGGCUUAUCAGCUUGUUGGUGGGGUAGUGGCUUACCAAGGCUUUGACGGGUAGCCGGCCUGAGAGGGUGACCGGCCACAUUGGGACUGAGAUACGGCCCAGACUCCUACGGGAGGCAGCAGUGGGGAAUAUUGCACAAUGGGCGGAAGCCUGAUGCAGUAACGCCGCGUGCGGGAUGGCGGCCUUCGGGUUGUAAACCGCUUUCGCCUGUGACGAAGCGUGAGUGACGGUAAUGGGUAAAGAAGCACCGGCUAACUACGUG